AUUCACACAGCACUCAACUUCCCUCCCCGGUAAACAACAAGGAUCUGAGAAACAAUGCUAACCGUUUAAGAAGAAAACGGAGCACAGUUCAUCUGAAGGAAACAGAAGGGUGAACCUUACUUUGGUGACCACCAAUGAACCAUGAAUGAUGUCAUCCAUGACUGGUAUCAUCCUCUCCUUCUUCCACCUCUUCAACUUCCUAGCCUUGGUCAUGCAACUGGCUUUGGCCAAUGGAACAUUAGCAAGCUUGGUGAAAGGAGAGGUUUGUCCCCUUGGAAUGUGUGCUUUGGGGAUACACCUUCUCAAAACCCAGUCACCAUGCUGUGAGAAGACCAAAUUAACCACAUAAGGAGAAUGGAGGUCCUCACUGAAAGUCCCAGUCAAGCUCCCACAACAGCCAACAUCAACUCACGAGUGAACCAUCUUGGAAGAAAAUCCUCUAGCCCCACUUGAACCUCUCCAGAUGAGCCAUGGCAGCCAAUGUGACACAGAGCAGAGAUGAGCUGAUCCUGCUAAGUCCUAUCCAA
This is a long non-coding RNA of Dama dama (fallow deer), 527 nucleotides long. RefSeq lists it as uncharacterized. NCBI's taxonomy places the organism in Eukaryota, Metazoa, Chordata, Mammalia, Artiodactyla, Cervidae. The transcript is spliced from 3 exons. The record is from RefSeq and is a predicted model, not a curated record.